UCACUCCGUGUACACCGUCCUCGCUCAGGUCGCCGCCGCCAGCGACUAGAGGGGAGGCGGCGAGAUGAAGAAGCUGAAGCUUGUGACCAGGCAUUUCCCCUUCUCACCUCAACUUUCUCGGCCCCAUUUUCUUGCUCUCCUCGCCGCCGGCAAGAUCUGAGCUUUUUCCUCUGCCUCCCAUCUUGCGGGCUCGCCACCGCUCCAGCUCCUCCGCGUUGCAGCCCCUCCACCUCCCGUGUCUCCACCGUGACACUAGCGCGCAGGCAAUGGCUGCCGGAACAAGUCCAGGAGGGACAUUUCCCCAGGGCUUGGAAGGGGUCCUAUCGGCAGAUGGCUUCUUCCCAAUGCCCGAGUUAGUCGCCUCGCUGAUUCCUCCGCCCGACGCGUUGGAAUCCUUUGACCGGCCUGGGUCAGAACGAUCGAUUGGCGGUGGAGGGACGGAAGCCAACGCCUUGCUCCAAGAAGGCUGCAGCGUCAACGAGGAAGGAGGUGCAUAAGGAGUUGGCGGCGGCUUCGACGACCACGCUGACGAAGAAUUGGGCAGCGGCAUCGACGUCUGCGCCGCCCAAGAAACUCAUUGAACAAUCAGUUGAUUAUAUGCGUCUCAGUGUAUUUGCGUCUUCAGAAAAGUGUGACCUCUAAGAUUUUUUUUAUAUUGCAAUAGGAAGCUGUAUUGUUAAUUCUUGCUCUCUGUAUAAUUUUGAUCCUCUAUUUCAAGCA
Molecule: long non-coding RNA, 720 nt
Organism: Lolium rigidum
Lineage: Eukaryota; Viridiplantae; Streptophyta; Magnoliopsida; Poales; Poaceae
Exons: 2
Source: RefSeq, a predicted model, not a curated record